Long non-coding RNA from Suricata suricatta (meerkat), 1981 nucleotides. RefSeq lists it as uncharacterized. The record is from RefSeq and is a predicted model, not a curated record. Lineage: Eukaryota; Metazoa; Chordata; Mammalia; Carnivora; Herpestidae. The transcript is spliced from 2 exons.
UGAAGUGGGACACUCAACUGGCUGAGCCACACCCACAUGCUUUUCUUACAAUAUGAUGCUCCUUCCUCUUUUCAGAUGCAGGAGCUACAUUUUUAUAACUACAUCAACCCAACAGAAUAUGAUGCAAGAGAUGGUGUAUGAUUUCCAAGGCUAAGUCAUACAAAAUGUUGCAGCUUUCACCUGGGUCUCUAGUAUCGCUUGUUCUGGGAGAAGCCCAACACCAUAACCAAGAGACAAUGAAGGCACCCACAGGAGAGGCCCAAUGAAGAACUGAGGCUCCCAGCUUGGCCAGCAUCGACUUGCCAGCCAUGUGACUGAGCCACCUUGGAAGUGGAUCCCUUCCACCCCAGUCAAGCCCUCUGAUGACUGUAGCCCCCGCCAACACAUGACCACAGCUCCUGAGGGCCCAGGUCCUUGCUGUACCUGCAACUGUCCUCAUGACCGGCACGGAAGGCCCUGCUCUCGGCUGAUGAGCUCCUCUCGUCUCUGCUUUCUACUUCUGCAGACUGCGAUUUUGACUCCUCUGGGAUGAACACAAAGAAACUGGUUAUUUGGGGACAGAUGAGAAUGGAAACACAAUACACGUCUUGUCACAUUUUUAGUUUGAAAGAACUUUGAGGGCUGUAGGAUCUAUAUAUUAAUGGGAGAGUGAGCUCCAGUUUUAGAACCUCUAAGUUUAUUCUGUUCUCUUAGCUGACAGGUCUUGGUGAUCAUAUAGUAACUCAUGUGUGUGUUGGUAUUUUGGUUGGUUGCCUAAAUUAGAACCCAGAAUACACCAGUACAGACAGCACUCUAUCCCUCUCCACCAGUAUUUAUGGAAUUCACUGAAAUGUGCUGACUUGAAAACCAAACUAGAGAAAAGGAGGUGGGUUAGGACAAGUGCUUCAAGAAGAGAAAUAUGGAGAAGCUAGCAUGUAUCUAUUCCCUGAACAGCUCUUGGGUACGAGGUACCUAUAACAGAUGCCCAAUAGUAGUUUGUUAAUUUAAAAAAUCUGUCACCAUUACAAUAAAACAAUACCUUUAAAUGUUUCUGGCAACUCCAAAGGUGCUUCAGGUGGCACUUCCAGUCCAGCAGCUUGAGUAAGAUACAAUCGCCUAAAAAGAACAAAUGAAAAAAGCAGUCCGUCAACAAACAUUGUACCAUCUGGUCAUUGGUGUCUGUCUUUCUGCUACGUUCUGGAGACACAAAGAUGAAAAAUCAGACGGUUUUUACCCUGGAGGAGCAUGAGGCCCAGAGGCGUGGCAGAUGGGCUUACAGUGUUUUAAGGCGACGGUCUGUACCCUGAUGGGUGACGGGGGUAGAGUGAGAAGUGCUGUGGGACAGAGAGAAGACACCUGGUUGAGCUUUAGAAGGCAAGGGAAAGUCUCCAGGAGGAGAUGAAACCCGAGGGGACACUUGGAGAACCAGGGGCUAUUUGCCAGGGAAGAGCUUGGGGUGAGGAAGGGCACUGUGUGAUAAGGGAAUAACAGACUUAAUGUUCUGGACACCAGUUGGGGUACUGUUGUAGUAAUCCAGCUCAGCAACAGCCAUGGCCUGAGUGGGUGGUUUUAAAAUGGAGAGGAAAAGAGAAGGACAGCGAGCAGCAGGAAUCCCAGAGGACAUGGAGGUGCUGGCUGAGUGCCAUGUUUCAGCCCCAAGCCUGGGGAGUUGGACGUCUGCUACUGUAGCUCUCUGUGCAUGUGUUUAAUUCUGUGGUCUGCUUUUCAGCACCUGAUGAACUUGCAACCAUAAAAUAUGAUGUCUUGAAACCUCCAUGUAACUUUUCCAUGAAGUUUGCCUGAAGACAGCCUGAGCUGCACUCUUGUCGAUGGUCAAACCACCCCUCAUGCUUAGCAGCUCAGCAAGCAGAGUGAGUCCCCCGGAUUACAGGUUGUCAAUUAUUUAAAGAACAUGAGUGAAGCGUUAUUCAAAAUGCUACGUAUCAGGCAAAUAAUGUAACUACAUACAAUAUUUAUUUUUAUAAAACUUUAAAAAAAUGUU